Molecule: ribosomal RNA, 613 nt
Filed under: Microbacterium sp. 612
Lineage: Bacteria; Bacillati; Actinomycetota; Actinomycetes; Micrococcales; Microbacteriaceae
Description: bacterial SSU rRNA
Rfam family: Bacterial small subunit ribosomal RNA
Source: RNAcentral
CGUGACGCAGCUAACGCAUUAAGUUCCCCGCCUGGGGAGUACGGCCGCAAGGCUAAAACUCAAAGGAAUUGACGGGGACCCGCACAAGCGGCGGAGCAUGCGGAUUAAUUCGAUGCAACGCGAAGAACCUUACCAAGGCUUGACAUAUACGAGAACGGGCCAGAAAUGGUCAACUCUUUGGACACUCGUAAACAGGUGGUGCAUGGUUGUCGUCAGCUCGUGUCGUGAGAUGUUGGGUUAAGUCCCGCAACGAGCGCAACCCUCGUUCUAUGUUGCCAGCACGUAAUGGUGGGAACUCAUGGGAUACUGCCGGGGUCAACUCGGAGGAAGGUGGGGAUGACGUCAAAUCAUCAUGCCCCUUAUGUCUUGGGCUUCACGCAUGCUACAAUGGCCGGUACAAUGGGCUGCAAUACCGUGAGGUGGAGCGAAUCCCAAAAAGCCGGUCCCAGUUCGGAUUGAGGUCUGCAACUCGACCUCAUGAAGUCGGAGUCGCUAGUAAUCGCAGAUCAGCAACGCUGCGGUGAAUACGUUCCCGGGUCUUGUACACACCGCCCGUCAAGUCAUGAAAGUCGGUAACACCUGAAGCCGGUGGCCUAACCCCUCGGGGAGGGAG